CGGACGGGUGAGUAACGCGUAGGAAUCUACCUGGCAGUGGGGGACAACAUGGGGAAACCCAUGCUAAUACCGCAUACGCCCCAAGGGGGAAAGCGGGGGACCUUCGGGCCUCGCGCUAUCAGAUGAGCCUGCGUAGGAUUAGCUUGUUGGUGAGGUAAAGGCUCACCAAGGCGACGAUCCUUAGCUGGUCUGAGAGGAUGAUCAGCCACGCUGGAACUGAGACACGGUCCAG
RNAcentral lists this ribosomal RNA (232 nucleotides) under uncultured bacterium. Its description in RNAcentral is "partial 16S ribosomal RNA". It matches the Rfam family "Bacterial small subunit ribosomal RNA", at positions 99 to 334 of the family's 1533-position model. The record is from RNAcentral.